CCCGGAGACGCUGUCGGGAGAUGUAGGCAGAGUUUUCUGUUCUGUAUGAGCGUUCGAGUUCCCUGGAAUUCUCUAGCAGUGAGAUAGGGUUUGGAACGCGUAGAGCAUUGCAUUUGCUGCAGUGUCUACAUCAUCCCCUCGGCCCUUGAAAAUCCGGGAGAGGGCCACGUGGAGGUCUCGCGCUAAAUCGUACCAAUAACCGCAGCUGGUCUCCAAGGUGUGAAGCCUCUGGUCAAUAGAAUAAUGUAGGUAAGGGAAGUCA
Molecule: ribosomal RNA, 262 nt
Filed under: Eparchus biroi
Lineage: Eukaryota; Metazoa; Arthropoda; Insecta; Dermaptera; Forficulidae
Description: partial 28S ribosomal RNA
Rfam family: Eukaryotic large subunit ribosomal RNA
Source: RNAcentral